UUAAAAAGCUCGUAGUUGAAUUUCGGGAUCAGUACGUUGGUCGUGCCUUAGGUACGUACUGGUGUUACUGGUCCCUACCUUCUGACGAACCAUCAUGUCAUUAAUUUGGUGUGGCGGGGAAUCGGGACUGUUACUUUGAAAAAAUUAGAGUGUUUAAAGCAGGCUCGCGCUUGAAUACAUUAGCAUGGAAUAAUGAAAUAGGACGUUGAUCCUAUUUUGUUGGUUUCUAGGAUUGACGUAAUGAUUAAUAGGGAUAGUUGGGGG
RNAcentral lists this ribosomal RNA (264 nucleotides) under uncultured Glomeromycotina. Its description in RNAcentral is "partial 18S ribosomal RNA". It matches the Rfam family "Eukaryotic small subunit ribosomal RNA", at positions 619 to 888 of the family's 1831-position model. The record is from RNAcentral. Lineage: Eukaryota; Fungi; Glomeromycota.